Long non-coding RNA from Fukomys damarensis (Damara mole-rat), 846 nucleotides. RefSeq lists it as uncharacterized. Lineage: Eukaryota; Metazoa; Chordata; Mammalia; Rodentia; Bathyergidae. The record is from RefSeq and is a predicted model, not a curated record. The transcript is spliced from 3 exons.
AAUCAAAGGGAAACAAUCCAGAGCUGGUUUUGUUUGAAUCGGCAGAUGUAAGUUGCAAGCCAUAGAAACCACCCUGGCUGCUUUCUGCAGAGGAGGAGUUGACGGAGAUCAGGCGGCUUCCGCAAGCUCUGGAGAUCAGAGGACAUGGCCUGGAAACCACACAGGCAGAAAGCUGUCCGGAAGACAACCGGUCCUCCUGUCGCGGACGCCCUUCUACACCUGCGACCGGGCCCAGACCCUAAUGACACUGGGCACCGAAUACUUUUAUUAGAGACACACUCAACAUUUGCAGGGCCCAGAGAAAGAGUACAAAUGGAGGCCCACAUCCAGUCUAUCAAAAUAUUUCAAAUGAUUGAGCCAAUAGGCUGCUAAAUGCACUUUAUUUAAAUCUGUUCCAGUAUGCCACGUCUGCAUAAUAAGACAUCCCAAAACUUACUACAACCUCAGCAGAGAGGCAUCAGGAAAGCGUUAGCUACGAGGAAGAGCUUGCGGACCGGAAAGCCAGAUCCGGAAGGGCUUGUGCCUGCCCCGUAUGUCUGAGGCUUGGGCUGGAAGCUUGAAAGGCUGAGGACAGGAAUCAUCUGCCUGUGGAUUUACUCACCGCUUUGGGGUCCAAGAGGACGGCGCGAUCUGCCCCCAGGAGACAGACGCAAAGGUCUGCACAGGCCCUGGAAGAGAGCCUGGGGUGAUUUGGACAGCGGGUUUGGAAUCCCAACAGUUGUGUCAUGGUGUAGAGAGGAAGACCAGAGCAGAACGGAGAUCCCGAAUGAAGAGGAUUUAACAGCCCCAGGCAGCCAAGAAGAAUGGCAAAUGUUCAAGACAAAUAUUAAUUACAGUCCACAUCAA